CCCGCCCCGCCCUUGCCCGCACAGGUGUGGCACCCGCCCGCCCCGCCGCACGGAGCCGCCUGCCCGCGGCCACACGCCAGGCGUCACUCGGGCUGGCGCCGGUCUACCUAGGCAGGCGUGGGACCUGUCGGGGGCUUCACGGCAGCGCGGAAGGCCAGCCUGCAGAGAGGCUGGGCCCAGCGCCCUGACUGACCCAGCCCCGCCACGUCCAAGGUUCCCGCCCUCUGGAGGAAGCCGCGCAAUCACUCCGGGGGCGGGGAGAGACAGACAACUGAGAGGAAGGAGGUACCACGGGCACUCUCUCGCGAGAGGGCCGCAGAGCCGCCUUUGACGGGGGCGUGUACCUGGAGAGCAACGUGACAUCUGUUUGAGCAGAUGAAUAUGCCAUUGGGAAAGUCAAGGACUGUCGGAGAGGAGGACAUGGCAGACCUUAACUAAAGUGAGGGGGACAGUAGAGCACUAAAAGUUCUAGGAAAGGAGAUGAACUGCUUAUUCCAUCAGAUGAAAAUAUAGUCAGAACAGAUGAGUAGUAGAACUUAAACAUGCCCGGAGUUGCCAGGAAUUUGCAAAAGCCUUGAUAUAAUUCCUGUUGCUGUAGAAAGACUUUCUACAGUCACUAAUAUAUCAAGUUAUGUUCACUAGAAAAAAAGUUUACUUAGUUUAUAGAAAUGGGCUGAAAAAUCCUAAUUACUUAUCUGUGAGGUUAUUUUCAUGAAGGUUAAUCAUCCAGAAACUAUUAGAGAGCCUCGGAAUAUAUUUCUUCUAAUCUGCUCUACCUAUCCCAUUCAAAGGAGGGAAUCUGAAGAUUUAAGGACAAAGAGCAGUUGAAAACUCAGAGCUGUGGUUAAUGGGAGAAUUUCAAGGAUGGUGAAAAAAACUAACAUCAUUGCAUCCCUGUUUUUUGUAUUCUGGACUUUUUAGUUUAGCUCUUGGUAAACUACAUCAGAAAUUCUUUAUGCUAACUCUAACACACAUUUUGGGGUAUUGCUAAUUUAAUCUUUGAAUACUGUUUUUGCUGUUUCAUGAUUAUAUGUUAUGUCCUACCAGCUAGAUUGCCAACUCUUGACUACUGACUGGAAGUUUAUUGUUUAUUCAGCAAAUAAUGAAUUAAGUCAGUGAAGUGAGAGAUUUCGUGUGUAAGGAUUGUUAACUUGAACAUUUCACCAGUUACACACAGUUCAGCCCUACUUAAAUUUUAAAAAUCAUUGUUGGCACUUGACAUUGUUAUGAGGAGUUUUGUAUUUUCAACUUGUAUUUUGAGAGUGUCCUCAUGUGACUGAAGUAUGUGCUACUCUUCUUAAUUGAAUAACCCCAGAAUCUCCAGAAUUGAUAAUUGGAGGAAAUUCUACUGUUGGAAAGAAUGGAUGGAUUAUACAGCCCUGUUUUUUGACUGUUCAUUUUGUCCUUGGAGUCACUACCACUUGGCCUCAAAGUGUGAACAUGUAACCCUUUCCUUAAUACUUUGCUACACAGCUGAGCAGAAACUGUAAAUUUGGAUCCUUUGUCAGUACAACUUAAAAUGGAACAAUUUCAAUGGCUUAGGGUAAGAUAAGUAUGUAAAGAUACUUUUGUAAUAGAAGAAAAAACAUUGGAUAUUAAAAUCACACAGUAGUA
RNAcentral lists this long non-coding RNA (1614 nucleotides) under Homo sapiens (human). RNAcentral's name for it is "RAB33B antisense RNA 1 (RAB33B-AS1)". The record is from RNAcentral. Lineage: Eukaryota; Metazoa; Chordata; Mammalia; Primates; Hominidae.